UCCCUCUGGUGCUUUUGCAAGCCACUUGCACUAAGCACUGGUGAGGAAAGGCUUACUGCUUACCCCUCAAUCAGGGGACAUCAACAGGUAUCUGGCUGCUUGCAGAGCUCAGGCAGAGGCUCAGCUGCAGCACGUUUUUCCAUUACUGAAGGACUUUAGGUUACAGAUAGGUUGAACAGAAGCAAACCAGCUGAGAUGGAGCUGGGAACUGCUCCUGCCUUGCUCAGACAGGCUCUCCCCCCUGAAGCUAAGACUUUUGGUUGGAAGGGACCAGGUGGUUUCUACAGCCCAGACGCUGCCCUGAGCUGAGAACAGAGGGGACUUGUCUCCUGUUUAGGGGCUUGCUUCACCUGCCCAAUGCCCUGUCGUACUGGUGGGUGGGUAAGGGGUCAGUCUGGAGAAGUGGGAUAGGAGAAAGCUUGCACAGAAGAGACCCCCCGCCUGAUCCAGAGCCUAGGAGCAAUGGGUGAGAUCCUUCGAGGCAGUGCACUGGCUGGGAAGCAGUGGGUGCCCACGGGGGGGGGACUUGCACCCCAGAUUCUGCUGUAGACUGCAGCGAUGAUGUUUGGCCCUUCAUUGGCGGGUGCAGUGUUGCAAUCUUAAAGCCUCCCAACAGGAACUGCUAGGCAGCAGGUGCCAGGGCUCUGCCUCCGAGCCUUGAAGGGCCAUCCCGCCACGUGACCGUCUGUGUGGUCUUCCGGUCAACAGAGGGCUUGACAGAAGAUUUUAGGCAUGGAGGAAAACUAUUGGAGAAGAAAGGCCUGUAAAUCAGAGCUACAAAGCUAGUGCGUGGAGCGGGAAGCUGGCAUGCUUAUUUAUUUGUGCUGUACAUCAGGGCCUAAUGGAUUUGUGUCAGAGCUGAGUCGAUAUAUUCCAGUUUGGAGACUCUCCACUGAGGCCAACUGAAGCAUUCGUUAUUCUUUGGCCCAUUAAAGCGGGUGAUAUACAGAGAGGAUGAAUAAAUAUCUCCUUGCAUUAAAGUCACACAGGAAAUUG
Molecule: long non-coding RNA, 996 nt
Organism: Alligator mississippiensis (American alligator)
Lineage: Eukaryota; Metazoa; Chordata; Crocodylia; Alligatoridae
Exons: 2
Source: RefSeq, a predicted model, not a curated record